CUGAAGGGAUCGGUCUUGAAAACCGACAGGGCCUUAACGGGCCGCGGGGGUUCGAAUCCCUCUUCCUCCGCCAU
This 74-nucleotide transfer RNA is filed under the name Staphylococcus aureus. Its description in RNAcentral is "tRNA-Pro-TGG". It matches the Rfam family "tRNA", at positions 18 to 71 of the family's 71-position model. Rfam says of the family: Transfer RNA (tRNA) molecules are approximately 80 nucleotides in length. Lineage: Bacteria; Bacillati; Bacillota; Bacilli; Caryophanales; Staphylococcaceae. The record is from RNAcentral.